AUACUUACUGGGUAGAGGAGCUAUCAUGAUCACGAAAGUGGUUUUCCCAGGGCGAGGUUUAAUCCGUUGUACUCCGGAUGUGCUGAUCUCUGUGAUUUCCCCAAGUGUGGGAAACUUGACUGCAUAAUUUGUGAUAGUGGGGGACUGCGUUCGCUCUUUCCCGUG
This is a small nuclear RNA of Gorilla gorilla gorilla (western lowland gorilla), 165 nucleotides long. Its record names the gene U1. It matches the Rfam family "U1 spliceosomal RNA". Rfam says of the family: U1 is a small nuclear RNA (snRNA) component of the spliceosome (involved in pre-mRNA splicing). Its 5' end forms complementary base pairs with the 5' splice junction, thus defining the 5' donor site of an intron. The record is from Ensembl. Lineage: Eukaryota; Metazoa; Chordata; Mammalia; Primates; Hominidae.